GGGGCUGUAGCUCAGCUGGGAGAGCGCUUGAAUGGCAUUCAAUAGGUCGUGAGUUCGAUCCUCAUCAGCUCCACAA
This 76-nucleotide transfer RNA is filed under the name Fidelibacterota bacterium CG08_land_8_20_14_0_20_45_22. RNAcentral describes it as "Candidatus Marinimicrobia bacterium CG08_land_8_20_14_0_20_45_22 tRNA-Ala". It matches the Rfam family "tRNA". Rfam says of the family: Transfer RNA (tRNA) molecules are approximately 80 nucleotides in length. Their secondary structure includes four short double-helical elements and three loops (D, anti-codon, and T loops). Further hydrogen bonds mediate the characteristic L-shaped molecular structure. tRNAs have two regions of fundamental functional importance: the anti-codon, which is responsible for specific mRNA codon recognition, and the 3' end, to which the tRNAs corresponding amino acid is attached (by aminoacyl-tRNA synthetases). tRNAs cope with the degeneracy of the genetic code in two manners: having more than one tRNA (with a specific anti-codon) for a particular amino acid; and 'wobble' base-pairing, i.e. permitting non-standard base-pairing at the 3rd anti-codon position. The record is from RNAcentral. Lineage: Bacteria; Pseudomonadati; Fidelibacterota.